GUAUUUAACGGGUGCUUACUCUGUGUCAUGUGCCCUUCUUGCUGCUGAACAAAGUGGAUAAAUUCCUUGCCUGAAAGUAAUUAAGGAAGAGGAGAAUGGAUACUGGAGAAAAUAGUGAUCCAUCACAGCCCACUCCUUUGGCCCUCCAUGUAGCCAGGCUCACCAUUUUUUCUCAGCAGUGGAGCGUAAUCACCACAUACCAACAACCCAAAGUCCUGUCUGGGUGCUGCAUCCAUCUCCAAGUCCAGGAUCUCUGGGUGAUGUGCUGUCCUCUCCAUCAAGUGACAGGGUGGCUCUUGCCUCCCACACCUACAUCCAGUAUGUAAUGAUGUUGUAGAAUGGUAUAUCUGCAAUAAAAUCUCUCUUUCACAAAUGGAAAA
RNAcentral lists this long non-coding RNA (380 nucleotides) under Homo sapiens (human). Its description in RNAcentral is "HSALNT0364572". Lineage: Eukaryota; Metazoa; Chordata; Mammalia; Primates; Hominidae. The record is from RNAcentral.